GACGAACGCUGGCGGCGUGCUUAACACAUGCAAGUCGAACGGAAAGGCCUUUUCGGAGGUACUCGAGUGGCGAACGGGUGAGUAACACGUGGGUGAUCUGCCCUGCACUCUGGGAUAAGCCUGGGAAACUGGGUCUAAUACCGGAUAGGGCCGCACUUUAGUGUGUGUGGUGGAAAGUUUUUUCGGUGUAGGAUGAGCCCGCGGCCUAUCAGCUUGUUGGUGGGGUAAUGGCCUACCAAGGCGGCGACGGGUAGCCGGACUGAGAGGUUGGUCGGCCACAUUGGGACUGAGAUACGGCCCAGACUCCUACGGGAGGCAGCAGUGGGGAAUAUUGCACAAUGGGCGCAAGCCUGAUGCAGCGACGCCGCGUGGGGGAUGACGGCCUUCGGGUUGUAAACUCCUUUCGCCAGGGACGAAGCGUUUUGUGACGGUACCUGGAGAAGAAGCACCGGCUAACUACGUG
This 463-nucleotide ribosomal RNA is filed under the name uncultured bacterium. RNAcentral's name for it is "partial 16S ribosomal RNA". It matches the Rfam family "Bacterial small subunit ribosomal RNA", at positions 28 to 507 of the family's 1533-position model. The record is from RNAcentral.